Molecule: non-coding RNA, 116 nt
Filed under: Sediminibacterium ginsengisoli
Lineage: Bacteria; Pseudomonadati; Bacteroidota; Chitinophagia; Chitinophagales; Chitinophagaceae
Description: SAM-I sequence
Rfam family: SAM riboswitch aptamer (S box leader)
About the family: The SAM riboswitch is found upstream of a number of genes which code for proteins involved in methionine or cysteine biosynthesis in Gram-positive bacteria. The SAM riboswitch acts at the level of transcription termination control.
Source: Rfam by way of RNAcentral
AACUUAUCAAGAAAGGCAGAGGGAAAUGGCCCUAUGAUGCCUUGGCAACCCAUAUCGCUUACUCAGCGGUACGAAGGUGCCAAUUCCGACCACACGAAAGUGUGGGAAGAUAAGUC